RNAcentral lists this transfer RNA (77 nucleotides) under Pseudomonadota bacterium. RNAcentral's name for it is "tRNA-Met". It matches the Rfam family "tRNA". Rfam says of the family: Transfer RNA (tRNA) molecules are approximately 80 nucleotides in length. Their secondary structure includes four short double-helical elements and three loops (D, anti-codon, and T loops). Lineage: Bacteria; Pseudomonadati; Pseudomonadota. The record is from RNAcentral.
AGCGGGAUAGAGCAGUGGAAGCUCGCAUGGUUCAUUAGCCGUGAGGUCGCUCGGUUCGAAUCCGGCUCCCGCUUCCA